RNAcentral lists this ribosomal RNA (393 nucleotides) under Pilumnidae sp. 4 KYKC-2019. Its description in RNAcentral is "partial small subunit ribosomal RNA". The record is from RNAcentral. Lineage: Eukaryota; Metazoa; Arthropoda; Malacostraca; Decapoda; Pilumnidae.
GGAUUAGAUACCCUACUACACUAAAAGGUAAUAUUAAUGACUUAAUUAUUUAUAGUUAUGUUCUUGAAAUUUGAAGAAUUUGGCGGUAGUUUAGUCUUGUCAGAGGAAUUUGUUUUUUAAUCGAUAAACCACGUAAAAUCUUACUUGUUUUUGUUAUCAGUUUAUAUACCAUCAUUAGUAGAUAAUCUUAUUAGAAAGAUAAUUAUUAAGUUUUAUUGAGAAUUAAAAUUAGAUCAAGGUGUAGCUAAUAAAUAAGUUAAAAUGAAUUACAAUAAAUUUUUAUUUAUACGGAUUUUUUAAUGAAAAUAUAAAAUUAAAGGUGGAUUUGAUUGUAAUGGAAGAUUUAAUAAGCUGAAAAGAUAUAAGUUCUAAAUUAUGUACAUAUCGCCCGUC